This 440-nucleotide ribosomal RNA is filed under the name uncultured bacterium. RNAcentral describes it as "partial 16S ribosomal RNA". It matches the Rfam family "Bacterial small subunit ribosomal RNA", at positions 338 to 795 of the family's 1533-position model. The record is from RNAcentral.
CCUACGGGAGGCAGCAGUAGGGAAUAUUGCUCAAUGGGGGAAACCCUGAAGCAGCAACGCCGCGUGGAGGAUGAAGGUUUUCGGAUUGUAAACUCCUUUUGUUAGAGAAGAUAAUGACGGUAUCUAACGAAUAAGCACCGGCUAACUCCGUGCCAGCAGCCGCGGUAAUACGGAGGGUGCAAGCGUUACUCGGAAUCACUGGGCGUAAAGAGCGCGUAGGCGGGAUAGCAAGUCAGAUGUGAAAUCCUAGGGCUUAACCAUAGAACUGCAUUUGAAACUGUUAUUCUAGAGUAUGGGAGAGGUAGGUGGAAUGCUUGGUGUAGGGGUAAAAUCCGUAGAGAUCAAGAGGAAUACUCAUUGCGAAGGCGACCUGCUAGAACAUAACUGACGCUGAUGCGCGAAAGCGUGGGGAGCAAACAGGAUUAGAUACCCCUGUAGUC